RNAcentral lists this ribosomal RNA (301 nucleotides) under uncultured bacterium. RNAcentral describes it as "partial 16S ribosomal RNA". It matches the Rfam family "Bacterial small subunit ribosomal RNA", at positions 509 to 809 of the family's 1533-position model. The record is from RNAcentral.
CAGUCGCCACGGUAAUACGUAGGUGGCGAGCGUUGUCCGGAAUCAUUGGGCGUAAAGGGAGCGCAGGCGGGCAUGUAAGUCUUUCUUAAAAGUUCGGGGCUCAACCCCGUGAUGGGAAAGAAACUACAUGUCUUGAGUACAGGAGAGGAAAGCGGAAUUCCCAGUGUAGCGGUGAAAUGCGUAGAUAUUGGGAGGAACACCAGUGGCGAAGGCGGCUUUCUGGACUGCAACUGACGCUGAGGCUCGGAAGCCAGGGGAGCGAACGGGAUUAGAUACCCCUGUAGUCCCUGUCUCUUAUACA